Molecule: long non-coding RNA, 1687 nt
Organism: Equus caballus (horse)
Lineage: Eukaryota; Metazoa; Chordata; Mammalia; Perissodactyla; Equidae
Source: Ensembl
GCCCAGGUUGUUAACCCCCUAAUGGCAGCCUAGAUUGGCAACAAUUGGUUUAGGGCAUUGCAAAGCCAAAUAAAAACUCACUGAAAUUUGCUGAAUAAAUGCCAGCAGCAGCUGCAGGAGGCCGUAACACAGCAGGGAGGGCCUUGACGUGACGGAGAGCAAGACGCUGGAACGGCAGUGGUCUGUUGGGUUUAGAUCCCAAAAAGACACCCAAUAGCCCAGAAGACGGGGCAGAGAAAGCAGAGACUGGCCGUUUGCAACAGAGGAGCAUCUGUCCCCACGUGAACCGGCAGGAGGGCAUCAAUUUCCAGCGGCUUAUCAGCAGAAUGCUCUGACAUGCACUGAGUUUGAACGAACCGGUCAGUCGGGAUGAGGUGCACCUGAGGACUAACAUGUUACUACUGGCCUUUCCUACAGGUGAUGGCAAAGCUGAAGCUGCUGGUCCAGAGACCACCCUGUGAGCCACCAGAGCAGAGGAUGUGACCGCAAGAAGAGAACUGAGACUGCGUAAGGCUGACGGAGUGGGGCCAUGCCAUGCUUCUCCCCAAACCAGCGCCGGUUCCUGCAGAUCUAGCCAUCUCUAGGAAGUGCGCUCUCAGGACUGCACUGGGAGAGGUGCUGGUGCCUGGGCUCUGCAUAUGUCAUCCUCUCUGUUUAGCCUAGUGAGGGUAGAACGAGUGAAGAGAGAGGGAUUCAAGCUGGAACAAGGACUCAGAGGAAAGCGGGCGGAGAGACUGCUAUAGGGAACAAGCUAUGAAACUGCAGGCCCCAGGGAGGAGAUGCCAGCCCUCCACACGCAGCCUGCACGCAGAGGUCUAUCCAAGCUGAGCACCCCUCCCCCUGGACGAUCAAACUGGAGGGCACACACACCUGUCCCGAACUUCCUACUUCUGCCAAGCAGGGUCUUUUCUGACACUUGACUGUGGCCCACUUUUUCUGUGUUCUGUCUGUCUCGCUUAUUAUGAAGUCUGAGCAGAGGAAGCAAUUUUUUUCCCUCUUGUACUGUUAGGAACUAGGCAAAGCACUAAGGCGCACACUGGGUAUCUGCUAAAUACCUACGAGAACUGGCCUGCGAGUCCGGCUGUCUUCAUCUCAGUUCUCGGGGCGCGCACGGGCCAGGCUUUGCUUGGGUGCGUCUUUGCCCUCUGAGGACUCAAUUCCUUCCCAAAGCAAUAAGCUUUGCUACAAUCCAGGAACUGACUCUAGUACUUUUAAAAGUUCUGUUCAGCUCUAAGCGGCUAGAGUAGGGCCCCUGUGUCCUCCUCAUUUGCUGUCUGGUAUGAGGUUCCAAUGCAAGAUUCUGGGAGCAGGUAGUACUUCCCAAACCUGAAUUCUUCUCAGGAGCACUGCAUCUGCAUGCACAGCACGGUGCAGGAGGUGGGAUUUCAGCACAUAACCACCAGAUCUGGGGCUCUUCCAGCUGUCUUCUUGGCUAGGACUUCACAGUCCAUCUUGCACUGAAGGUUUUUGCUAAAAUUGCCUAAGGAAACUAGAGGAGUGAGCCCUGGCAGCAGAAAGGGGACUAAAAUAGAUGUUCUUCUUUUAAAAACCCACAGGCAACCAGGAGGCCAGAGAAAUAGAUUGACAGGGCCCACCUACAGAGACUCCAGUGGGGGAGGGACAGUGAAGGCUGGGGCAGCCUGGGAACUCAGGGCUCUGCCAUUCCCCGUUGGCCUAGAAUCCAGCC